Molecule: non-coding RNA, 114 nt
Organism: Acanthosepion pharaonis
Lineage: Eukaryota; Metazoa; Mollusca; Cephalopoda; Sepiida; Sepiidae
Source: the annotation of a GenBank genome assembly
UUACGGCCACAUCACAUUGAAACACCGAUUCCCGUGCAAACACCAAAGUUAAGCAACGUCGUACCUGGUCAGUAUCUAGAUGGGUGACUGCUUAGAAAUACCAUAUGCUGUAAG